This 647-nucleotide ribosomal RNA is filed under the name uncultured bacterium. RNAcentral's name for it is "bacterial SSU rRNA". It matches the Rfam family "Bacterial small subunit ribosomal RNA", at positions 734 to 1380 of the family's 1533-position model. The record is from RNAcentral.
CCAUUACUGACACUGAGGAGCGAAAGCGUGGGGAGCGAACAGGAUUAGAUACCCUGGUAGUCCACGCCGUAAACGGUUGGGCACUAGUUGUGGAAACCUUCCACGGUUUCUGCGACGCAGCUAACGCAUUAAGUGCCCCGCCUGGGGAGUACGAUCGCAAGAUUAAAACUCAAAGGAAUUGACGGGGACCCGCACAAGCGGUGGAUGAUGUGGUUUAAUUCGAUGCAACGCGAAAAACCUUACCCACCUUUGACAUGUACGGAAUUCGCCAGAGAUGGCUUAGUGCUCGAAAGAGAACCGUAACACAGGUGCUGCAUGGCUGUCGUCAGCUCGUGUCGUGAGAUGUUGGGUUAAGUCCCGCAACGAGCGCAACCCUUGUCAUUAGUUGCUACAUUUAGUUGGGCACUCUAAUGAGACUGCCGGUGACAAACCGGAGGAAGGUGGGGAUGACGUCAAGUCCUCAUGGCCCUUAUAGGUGGGGCUACACACGUCAUACAAUGGCUGGUACAAAGGGUUGCCAACCCGCGAGGGGGAGCUAAUCCCAUAAAACCAGUCGUAGUCCGGAUCGCAGUCUGCAACUCGACUGCGUGAAGUCGGAAUCGCUAGUAAUCGUGGAUCAGAAUGUCACGGUGAUACGUUCCCGGGUC